CAGGGGGAGAGGGCUGUGCGGGAGGAAGAACAAGCGGGGCCGGGGUGGGCGCGUGGCUGCAGACCGAGCGCUGGCCAGUGGCUGACGGGGAGGAGGACUGCGGCAGGAGCGAGGUGAGCAUUGACGUCACCACCCGUUGGCUCUUAGCUGGUGGGGGGUGGGGGUCCCGUUUCAGUUCCGCCUUUCUAAUGGCUACCCGAGGCCUGGGAAUAAGAUGUUGGAGGAGGGGGGAGACGGAAGGGGCCCGCCCAAAGGCCACCCGACAUUUAGCAGCUGUCUGAGUUGGGGAGACGUUAGGGAACCAGGCGCUAACUGUUUGUUGCCUUCAGAACGCUGGCUUUCCCGCCCCUGGAUUCUCCCCCCGGGCACUAGAAUCUGAGCUCUAGCUUCUGUUUACCAAGUAGCUACCAAGGGAUGGGAUGGAAGAUGGGACACACACCCUGGCACUCCCACACACAAAGACAGCUCUCACAUGGAAACACACGGUGCUGCCCCUUUCAAUGCGGUCUUUUCAUGAAGAAUGAUGAUGAGGCUCUCUAAAGGGCCCCCAGAAACUCGAGACUGAGUUAGGAAAGGAAGAGAUGGAGCAGCCAAAGGCAAAACAGGUUUUAGAGAGGACUCGCCCACUCUCUCUCCCUAGCCAUCAUGUCCACAUAAAAAUGUUUUCUUUAUACAUUUGCAUUAGGAAUUCUCCUCCCUACUCUCUUGCUGCUCAUAUGUCAGCACUGUGAUAUCCUUUCUCUAACUGAGUAUGUGGAGGAGUUGCUACAAAACCGCUCUUUAGUCACAGAUAUUGGAGCAACCAUGUUGUAGGGCAUGUGAAGCCACUAUAUAGCCACUAGCACCUCAUACAUAGGAUUACUCAAGUAUCCUCUUUCUUUCUUCACAUUUCUGAACACUCAUGUUUCCUUGCACAUGGAUAUCAUUGGUCAGUACGCAUUGACUCUCCCCCUGUUUCCCUGAGAUACAAUGUCCUUGUAUAUAAGAACAAAUGAAGGAAGAAUAAUGCUCUCUGAGUACUAGAAGAAGGCUCCUUUCAUGUAUAGAGAGGUUAGAGGAAAUGGAUACAUGUGAAUAUUUGGAGAGAAUGUAACCACACGCUUAUAUAGGAACCAAGAGAACAUGUGAGUACUCUUACACAGAGGAAGAGAGAGAAUGAUUUCUAAGGUUUAAGAGGAGAUAGAAAGGGAAAGUCCUAGAAAUGAACUAACAGAAAAACCUACGUGUGACCCCAUAAAGGAAUGAAGAGAGAGAGAGCCUGAGCAGACACAAGCACACCCAAGGACUUCUCUGUCUUUUUGUGCCUGUAGUGUUACAUAUUCUCUAUGUGCUCAUGUAGAGAAGGGCCAAAUUCUUCUCUACCUGACAGAUGCUAGUCAUGUGAAUAAAGAGAAGACACAAAAAGAGAAAGGACAAGGUACUCUCUGGGUAGGAUUAUACAGAGAAUUACUGAUUCCUCCCCAGCCAGACUAGGUGAAGAGAAAGGGAGCCACUGCCUGACUUGAACAGACCGGUGAAAUAUGGGAGCCCUGUUGGAUGAGAAUAGAGGCAGCCCAGGGGUGUUGAAGAGGGGACAGAAGGGCUUCUGGACAGAGAGCUGAGGGUCAAGAGGGGCAUCAAUGGCGGCCCCUGUGGUCCUCUCCCUGGGAGCCUGGUGCCCUCCCGGGAUUGCAGUGGUUAAUAAGCCCCCCUGACAAUUAGUCCUUUGCAGCUGUAGGGGGGAAGUAGGGGGAGAAGGGUGAGAGGGUAAGGGGAAGUGCAGGUGGGUUGGGGUGGUCAGGUGGCUAUAGAGAGGUGAGUGGGAUGUAAGGUGGGACUCGUGGAGAUUGGGCAUUGUCUGGCCCGAGGGGGACAGCAGCAGGAGACAGGUGAGCGCUGACGUCACCAUCCACGGAUGCUCAGUGAGGGGGAGGGUGUCCACCUAGCCAGGCUUCACCUCUGUCUGUCUAAUAAUAGCUGCUCCAGGCCUGGGAAUAGAUGGUGGAGAAGGGAGAGAUGGCAGGAUGCAGCCCAAAGCCCAUCUCAGACUCAGUUGUCUGAACCUGGGAGUUAAGUGAGUAGGAAGCAGAAGCCCCAGGCCAGGGACAGCUCCCAAAGUAGGGAAAAGGUCCCCAAGGGAGCCCUACAGAUCCUUGGCCUUCCACUCCCUGGGCUCUGAGCUGUGACACUCCCUGAGGGAUGAGGGACACAUGUGGCUCAGGAGGCAGGGCCAGGGAGACUCCUGGGCUUGAUUGCAGGCUUUAGGCUCAGAAUAAGGGCUGAACCUGCUGGUUGGGGGCUGCCUGAAAGGAAAGCAAUAGAAGGGCAGAGUUUUCACAGGGAGUAGAAAGUGGUUGGGUUAUGGCUAAGAGAGGGGCAGUGAUGUUGAGGUGGGAUCCUGAUGGGCUUGUAGGUGUGGGUGGGUCAGGAGGGCUAAAAGAGACCUCAGAGGUCAUUGGUACCUCAGAGGUCAUAAAAGGCCAACCAUCUCCUGAAACAGAAAGGGUAAGUGAAGUCAAGAUCAGGGCAGGGACUGCCAUGGCCAAGGUCACACAGCCAGUAAGGGUAGAAGUACACUUGUCAGCCCAGCUUCCAUCUUGCCUUGGUCCUGCUCUGAGAGUCAAGUUUGAUGGACCCCAAUCCCAUAGGAAGAGCUUCUCCAGAAACAGGAGGAGAAUUUCCCCAUAGAGCCAGUGGUUCUAGAACUCUACUGUUAUAAGGCAGGAGUUAAGGGGGGUCUAAGCAAGCCUCUUUGGCUUAGCCUUGGGGAUAUUUACCAAGGUGAGCCAGUAAAUUCCAUGCCCUUCUCUGAUUUGCUUUCUGCCAUUUGUGACACUUAGAGCUGCUCUUAAACAUUUUCCUGGUGUUUUUGGACAGAUGUGUAGGCAGGGUCCCUCUUUCCUGUCCUCCUUAGAUUAUUUUCUGUUUGGGAGAUGUGUGUGUGUGUGUGAGCGUGUCUCUCUGUGUGUGUAGCAGUUCCUUUGGGAGGAGGAACAUGAUAGAAGUGGCUAAGAACUGGCCACAGAAAGGGAGCCAAGCUUGGAUGGGCAGGAGUCCAGAAACGUGGGGUGACAGCUGGGCUUUAUUCAUGGAAAGGGAGGUGGAGAUGAUGGAUAGAACAGAGGUGGGAGUUUUAAAGUGAGUAAUGGGACCUGCUGGGGCUACCAGAAGGGUGCUGGGGGAAUCAAAGUAGGAAUGGAAACCUGUUGAAUAACAAUCCCUUGACCAGAGGGCAUCAUGUGCCCUUUUCUUUACCACCAUGUCUCACUAACCUUGUCUCCCUCCUGCCAACAGCCUCCAGAAAAAGAAGAUGAGGCCAGAAGCAGGAGCCCAGCCAAAUAGUUUGGGAAAAUGAAUUCAGAGAUAGAGGAGGGCAUCUUCACCAGGAAUCUUCAAGAAUUCAAUCACAGGGAGAGAAGCAGUAGCAACCUUUCAACCUUCCAGAAAAAGAAGAUGAGGCCAGAAGCAGGAGCCCAGCCAAAUAGUUUGGGAAAAUGAAUUCAGGGAUAGAGGAGGGCAUCUUUACCAGGAAUCUUCAAGAAUUCAAUCACAGGGAGAGAAGCAGUAGCAACCUUUCAACCUUCCAGAAAAAGAAGAUGAGGCCAGAAGCAGGAGCCCAGCCAAAUAGUUUGGGAAAAUGAAUUCAGGGAUAGAGGAGGGCAUCUUCACCAGGUGAAUUAGGAGCACUACAACAACAAGCCAAAGCUUAUUCCACCAAAUACUCUAGUGAACAGAAAUAUAAAAGAAAGUCCAACACCAAGAGAGAUAAGCCUCCACAUGAUCCUCAUACACUCUGACCUAUCCCAGCUGCUUCCCAAAGAUCCACUAAGAGAUUGGAUGGAAGAUAGGACACAUACACAGAGAAUAAGAACUCUCACAUAGGAAACACACACUCCUUCCCCUUUCAAUACAAAACUUCAUAAAGUAUUUUCAUUGACAUCCAUCAGGGAUCAUAUUGAGGAAACUAAAGAGUAUAUCCAAAUGGUCCCCAGAUACAUUGGACUGACUUAGAAAGAGGAAGGAUUGAGUAAGGAAAGGAAAAUAGACUGAGAAAAUUCUUUCCUAUGGGGAAUCCCAAGGGUAAAGAUGCUAGAAGAUUCAGACACAUCUCCUAGGUGAAGAUUGCCUACCUUCUGUGGGUAUAUUGAGACAUCUUUGAGGACCCUCAUACAUUCUAUUACUUGUCCAUUUCUCCAUAUAUUGAUAUGGACUGUUUACUCAUUCAUAUUGGGAAUUUCCUCCAUACCCCACUGCUGCUCAUAUUUCCACACUGAGAUAUGCUCCUUUACAUCUCUCUUUAUGUGAACUACCUACCCUAUACUCUUUCUCUCUUCACCUAUAUAUGAGCCUUGUUAUUUUAAGGGCUACUAAAGACACUUACAUAGUGUCCAGCACAUCAUACAUAGCAUUUACUCAAGUAUUCCCUCUUCUUUUUCACAUAUAUGAGCACUCACAUUGUCUUUGUACAGGAAUUCUUCUUCAAUGAAUACCCCUUCCCUCUAUAUCCUUAUUCCCAUGAGCACACAUAGAUGGUCUCUUUCUAUGUUUAGAAUUAUAGAGGACUGUUAUACUCUUUGUGGAAACCAAAAGGAAUCUUUUUUCUUUUCGUUAGAAUAUUUUUCCAUGGUUACAAGAUUCACGAUUCCUCCCCUUCCCUCCUAGAGCUUACAAGUAAUUGCACUGGGUUAUACAGGUAUCCUUGUUGAAAGCCUGUUUCAACGUUAUUCAUAUAAGCAUUUUUGUACAAGUCUUUCCCCUUAAUAUCUCUUUGGGGUACAAACCCAACAGUGGUAUGUCUGGGUCAAAGGGAAGGCAUUCUUUUAAAGCCCUUUGGGCAUAAUUUCAAAUUGCCCUCCAGAAUGGUUGUGUAUUAGUGUCCCAUUUGGCCACAUCCCCAUCAACAUGUAUCACUUACCUUUGCUGCCAAAUUGGACAAUCUCUUAAGUUUGAGGUGGUUCCUCAGAGUUGUUUUAAUUUGAAUUUCUCUAAUCAGGAGGGAUUUAGAAUACUUUUUCAUGUGCUUAUUGAGAAUUUUUAUUUCAUCCUGUGAAAACUGCCUAUUCAUGUCUCUUGACCAUUAGUUGAUUGGGGAAUGGCUUGUUUUUUUUGUUUUUGUUUUUUUUUGUAAAUUUGGCUUAUUUCCUUAUAUAUUUGGGAAAUUAAACCUUUGUCAGAGAGUUUUGUUGUAAAAAUGUUCUCCCAGUUGUUGCCUUCUAAUUUUGGUUGCUUUGGUUUUUGUCUGUUUAAAAAAUCUUUUUAAUUUGAUAUAAUCAAAGUCAUUCAUUUUACAUUUUUAAUGUUCUCUGUGUCUUGCUUGUUCUUAAAUUCUGGGAAACUAUUCUAUGUUCACCUAAUUUAUUUAUGGUUUUACUCUUUACCCAUUUUGAAUGUAUCUUCACUAACAGGAAUCUUCAAGCAUUCAAUCACAGGGAGAGAAGCAGUAGCAACCUUUCAAGUAAGAAGGAAGGGUAUGGGGAAACAAAUAUGGGAAUGGAUGUAGAGAAAAUAUAAGGCUGCACACACACACAGAGAAGAUCAGAUAUACACAUCAGAAAAGAGUGAAUGUGGGAGUACUCAUAGAGAGGAAGAGAAAGAAUGAGAACUAAGGUUUCUGAGGAGGUAGAAUGAAGAAGUGAUUCAUAUGGUCCAAGUGGAAUGGUCAUAUGAACAUAUAGAAACCAGACAUGAGAGUUCUUGUGGAGGAAGAGAGAGACCCAGAACAUAUAUAUGUAUAUGUAUGUUGAGACAUGUUUGCCGUUUUCAUAUGUACUAAUUGCACAUGCUCUCUACAUCCCGAGAUUCAGAAGUAUUACAUUAUUCCUUAUAUGAGACUCCAGAGUCAUGUGAACAGAGAAUAUAGGAGAAAAUGGUCAAGUUCUUUCCCUUAAUGAGAGUAUAAUGCAAAUGGCUCAGUCUCCCAUGACAGGGACACCUAGAAAGAAAGGGAGAGUGCACUGUGAGAAAGGACAAUAAGGCGGCACUGCUGGAUGACAAUACAGGAAGCCCAGGGGUCUUUAAGAAGGGAUAGAGGGGCUGGUCUUGGGACAUCAAUGGCGGCCCCUGUAGUUCUCUCUGUCCGAGCCUGGUGCCCGGGAUUGCAGCGGUUAAUA
Long non-coding RNA from Monodelphis domestica (gray short-tailed opossum), 6089 nucleotides. RefSeq lists it as uncharacterized. The record is from RefSeq and is a predicted model, not a curated record. NCBI's taxonomy places the organism in Eukaryota, Metazoa, Chordata, Mammalia, Didelphimorphia, Didelphidae.